UGCAAGUCGAGCGGUAGCACAGAGAGCUUGCUCUCGGGUGACGAGCGGCGGACGGGUGAGUAAUGUCUGGGAAACUGCCUGAUGGAGGGGGAUAACUACUGGAAACGGUAGCUAAUACCGCAUAACGUCGCAAGACCAAAGUGGGGGACCUUCGGGCCUCAUGCCAUCAGAUGUGCCCAGAUGGGAUUAGCUAGUAGGUGGGGUAACGGCUCACCUAGGCGACGAUCCCUAGCUGGUCUGAGAGGAUGACCAGCCACACUGGAACUGAGACACGGUCCAGACUCCUACGGGAGGCAGCAGUGGGGAAUAUUGCACAAUGGGCGCAAGCCUGAUGCAGCCAUGCCGCGUGUAUGAAGAAGGCCUUCGGGUUGUAAAGUACUUUCAGCGGGGAGGAAGGCGAUAAGGUUAAUAACCUUGUCGAUUGACGUUACCCGCAGAAGAAGCACCGGCUAACUCCGUGCCAGCAGCCGCGGUAAUACGGAGGGUGCAAGCGUUAAUCGGAAUUACUGGGCGUAAAGCGCACGCAGGCGGUCUGUCAAGUCGGAUGUGAAAUCCCCGGGCUCAACCUGGGAACUGCAUUCGAAACUGGCAGGCUAGAGUCUUGUAGAGGGGGGGUAGAAUUCCAGGUGUAGCGGUGAAAUGCGUAGAGAUCUGGAGGAAUACCGGUGGCGAAGGCGGCCCCCUGGACAAAGACUGACGCUCAGGUGCGAAAGCGUGGGGAGCAAACAGGAUUAGAUACCCUGGUAGUCCACGCCGUAAACGAUGUCGAUUUGGAGGUUGUGCCCUUGAGGCGUGGCUUCCGGAGCUAACGCGUUAAAUCGACCGCCUGGGGAGUACGGCCGCAAGGUUAAAACUCAAAUGAAUUGACGGGGGCACGCACAAGCGGUGGAGCAUGUGGUUUAAUUCGAUGCAACGCGAAGAACCUUACCUGGUCUUGACAUCCACAGAACUUAGCAGAGAUGCUUUGGUGCCUUCGGGAACUGUGAGACAGGUGCUGCAUGGCUGUCGUCAGCUCGUGUUGUGAAAUGUUGGGUUAAGUCCCGCAACGAGCGCAACCCUUAUCCUUUGUUGCCAGCGGUUCGGCCGGGAACUCAAAGGAGACUGCCAGUGAUAAACUGGAGGAAGGUGGGGAUGACGUCAAGUCAUCAUGGCCCUUACGACCAGGGCUACACACGUGCUACAAUGGCAUAUACAAAGAGAAGCGACCUCGCGAGAGCAAGCGGACCUCAUAAAGUAUGUCGUAGUCCGGAUUGGAGUCUGCAACUCGACUCCAUGAAGUCGGAAUCGCUAGUAAUCGUAGAUCAGAAUGCUACGGUGAAUACGUUCCCGGGCCUUGUACACACCGCCCGUCACACCAUGGGAGUGGGUUGCAAAAGAAGUAGGUAGCUUAACCUUCGGGAGGGC
RNAcentral lists this ribosomal RNA (1404 nucleotides) under Klebsiella quasipneumoniae. RNAcentral describes it as "bacterial SSU rRNA". It matches the Rfam family "Bacterial small subunit ribosomal RNA". Lineage: Bacteria; Pseudomonadati; Pseudomonadota; Gammaproteobacteria; Enterobacterales; Enterobacteriaceae. The record is from RNAcentral.